This 302-nucleotide ribosomal RNA is filed under the name uncultured bacterium. Its description in RNAcentral is "partial 16S ribosomal RNA". It matches the Rfam family "Bacterial small subunit ribosomal RNA", at positions 508 to 808 of the family's 1533-position model. The record is from RNAcentral.
GCAGCCGCCGCGGGAAUACGUAGGUCCCGAGCGUUGUCCGGAUUUAUUGGGCGUAAAGCGAGCGCGGGCGGUUAGAUAAGUCUGAAGUUAAAGGCUGUGGCUUAACCAUAGUACGCUUUGGAAACUGUUUAACUUGAGUGCAAGAGGGGAGAGUGGAAUUCCAUGUGUAGCGGUGAAAUGCGUAGAUAUAUGGAGGAACACCGGUGGCGAAAGCGGCUCUCUGGCUUGUAACUGACGCUGAGGCUCGAAAGCGUGGGGCGCAAACAGGAUUAGAUACCCGGGUAGUCCCUGUCUCUUAUACA